This 497-nucleotide ribosomal RNA is filed under the name uncultured bacterium. RNAcentral's name for it is "partial 16S ribosomal RNA". It matches the Rfam family "Bacterial small subunit ribosomal RNA", at positions 28 to 507 of the family's 1533-position model. The record is from RNAcentral.
GAUGAACGCUGGCGGCGUGCCUAAUACAUGCAAGUCGAGCGAACAGACGAGGAGCUUGCUCCUCUGACGUUAGCGGCGGACGGGUGAGUAACACGUGGAUAACCUACCUAUAAGACUGGGAUAACUUCGGGAAACCGGAGCUAAUACCGGAUAAUAUAUUGAACCGCAUGGUUCAAUAGUGAAAGACGGGUUUGCUGUCACUUAUAGAUGGAUCCGCGCCGCAUUAGCUAGUUGGUAAGGUAACGGCUUACCAAGGCAACGAUGCGUAGCCGACCGGAGAGAGUGAUCGGCCACACUGGAACUGAGACACGGUCCCGACUCCUACGGGAGGCAGCAGUAGGGAAUCUUCCGCAAUGGGCGAAAGCCUGACGGAGCAACGCCGCGUGAGUGAUGAAGGUCUUCGGAUCGUAAAACUCUGUUAUUAGGGAAGAACAAAUGUGUAAGUAACUAUGCACGUCUUGACGGUACCUAAUCAGAAAGCCACGGCUAACUACGUG